CUGCUCAAUGAAAAUUUAUUUAAAUAGCUGCAGUAUUUUGACUGUACAAAGGUAGCAUAAUCAUUUGUCUUUUUAUUAAAGUCUGGAAUGAAAGAUUGAAUGAAAUAAAAACUGUCUCAAAUUAAUUAUAUUAUUAAAAUUUAUUUUAAGUAAAAAUUCUUAAAUUUUAUAAAAAGACGAGAAGACCCUAUAGAAUUUUAUAAAUAAUUAAUAUUAUUUAUAAUAAAUAAUAAAUAAUAUUAAUUUAUUUAUUUUGUUGGGGUGACAAAAAAAUUAAUUUAAUUUUUUUAAUAUAUUUACAUUAUAAAUGAUUAUAUUAUCCAAUAUUAUUGAAUAUAUAUUAAAUUACCUUAGGGAUAACAGCGUUAAAUUUUUAGAGAGUUCAUAUUGAUAAAAAUUAUUGCGACCUCGAUGUUGAAUUAAAAUAAAUUAUUAUUGAAGAAAAUAAUAC
Molecule: ribosomal RNA, 451 nt
Filed under: Pachyneuron aphidis
Lineage: Eukaryota; Metazoa; Arthropoda; Insecta; Hymenoptera; Pteromalidae
Description: partial 16S ribosomal RNA
Source: RNAcentral